This 254-nucleotide ribosomal RNA is filed under the name uncultured bacterium. RNAcentral describes it as "partial 16S ribosomal RNA". It matches the Rfam family "Bacterial small subunit ribosomal RNA", at positions 524 to 776 of the family's 1533-position model. The record is from RNAcentral.
UACGGGGGGAGCAAGCGUUGUUCGGAUUUACUGGGCGUAAAGGGCGCGUAGGCGGUCAGCACAAGUCAGUUGUGAAAUCUCCGGGCUUAACUCGGAAAGGUCAACUGAUACUGCGCGGCUAGAGUGCAGAAGGGGCAACUGGAAUUCUCGGUGUAGCGGUGAAAUGCGUAGAUAUCGAGAGGAACACCUGCGGCGAAGGCGGGUUGCUGGGCUGACACUGACGCUGAGGCGCGAAAGCCAGGGGAGCAAACGGG